AACGCACCUUGCGCUCCUUGGUAUUCCUUGGAGCAUGCCUGUUUGAGUGUCAUGUUAAUCUCAAUCUCGCCCAUUUUCUUAAUACAAAGUGGGAUGGGGAUUGGACUUGGAGGUUAUUAAUGCUGGACCCUUUCUCACGAAGGGGGUCGGCUCCUCUUGAAUGCAUUAGCUUGGGCUUUUCGCUCGUUACUGCGGUGUGAUAAAUUUUAUUCACCACGGUUUUUGACUUGCGUGUAAUGUCUGCUUCGAACCUUAUUUUUUAUGUAUAUGUAUAUAUACAUAAGAUUACUUUUUGACCUUUGACCUCAAAUCAGGUAGGACUACCCGCUGAACUUAA
This 337-nucleotide ribosomal RNA is filed under the name uncultured fungus. RNAcentral describes it as "eukaryotic LSU rRNA". Lineage: Eukaryota; Fungi. The record is from RNAcentral.